This 334-nucleotide unclassified non-coding RNA is filed under the name soil metagenome. RNAcentral describes it as "partial contains 5.8S ribosomal RNA, internal transcribed spacer 2, and large subunit ribosomal RNA". The stretch from base 1 to 120 matches the Rfam family "5.8S ribosomal RNA", at positions 35 to 154 of the family's 154-position model. The record is from RNAcentral.
GAUGAAGAACGCAGCGAAAUGCGAUAAGUAAUGUGAGUUGCAGAAUUCAGUGAAUCAUCGAAUCUUUGAACGCACAUUGCGCCCGCCAGUAUUCUGGCGGGCAUGCCUGUUCGAGCGUCAUUUCAACCAUCAAGCCCCAGGCUUGUGUUGGAGCCCUGCGGCUGCCGCAGCCUCCCAAAACCAGUGGCGGGCUCGCUAUCACACCGAGUGCAGUAGUUUACUCUUCGCUCAGGGCGUGUGGCGGGUGCUAGCCGUAAAACCCCCAACUUCUCAAGGUUGACCUCGGAUCCGGUAGGAAUACCCGCUGAACUUAAGCAUAUCAAUAAGCGGAGGA